AUAAUAAUUUGCCUUAUAAUUUGAGGCUAGAAUGAAUGGUUUGACGAAGGUUGAUCUGUCUCUACUCUAUUUUUUAGAAAUUAAUUUUUAAAGUGAAAAAGCUUGGAUUUUUUAAAGGGACGAGAAGACCCUAAUGAGCUUAUAAUUUUAUCUUUAUUUCUAAUAUUAGUAAAUAAAGUAUAAAUUUUAAUUGGGGUGAUUAAGGAAUAAAGUAUAAUAACUUCCUUAUAUUUAAUAUUGUUAGAUAAAGUAACCAAUAUAUUAUUGCUUAUAAUAUAGUUACCAUAGGGAUAACAGCGUAAUUUGUUUAGAGAGUUCUUAUUGAAAAACAAGAUUGCGACCUCGAUGUUGGAUUAAAGUAACCUUAAGGUGCAGAAGCUU
This 381-nucleotide ribosomal RNA is filed under the name Histioteuthidae environmental sample cf. Histoteuthis sp. Its description in RNAcentral is "partial 16S ribosomal RNA". It matches the Rfam family "Bacterial large subunit ribosomal RNA", at positions 1956 to 2564 of the family's 2925-position model. The record is from RNAcentral. Lineage: Eukaryota; Metazoa; Mollusca; Cephalopoda; Oegopsida; Histioteuthidae.